UACGAAGGGGGCUAGCGUUGUUCGGAAUCACUGGGCGUAAAGGGUGCGCAGGCGGGUUCAUAAGUCAGGGGUGAAAUCCCGAGGCUCAACCUCGGAACUGCCUUUGAUACUGUGGAUCUUGAGUCCGGAAGAGGUGAGUGGAACUGCGAGUGUAGAGGUGAAAUUCGUAGAUAUUCGGAAGAACACCAGUGGCGAAGGCGGCUCACUGGACCGGCAUUGACGCUGAGGUGCGAAAGCUAGGGUAGCAAACGGG
This 253-nucleotide ribosomal RNA is filed under the name uncultured bacterium. Its description in RNAcentral is "partial 16S ribosomal RNA". It matches the Rfam family "Bacterial small subunit ribosomal RNA", at positions 524 to 776 of the family's 1533-position model. The record is from RNAcentral.